ACAGGCUCUAUAAGAUGUUAAGGAACAGCCUCUAUAAAAUGAGAGAGAGAUGGUAAGGCUGUUAUAAGUUCCUUAAUCGAAUCAAUUUUUUUGUACUUUUAACACUCAUUCCAUGGUUGUGGUUUUUGUUUACAAAGUCAUUGACUGGAAAUUCAAAAGAGAGCUCUGAGAGGAGUUCCACAGAAGGUUUCGUAUCUACUGUUGGGACCUUGAAAUGGGUAAACCAUGUCAUUCUCUUAUCUCAGUUAUCUGUUUACAAAGGUGCUGGUGGCAUUCAAGCUCUCAUGAAAAGCAAUGAAAGAAAAUUAGCCGAAGAAGAUCAGUCAAUACUGAUGGCCUCGGAAUGCCUUACCCCAUCAUCAGGGCUGGUUUGUUACAAAACUCUCCACGUGAAAUUCAAGGCUUUAACUUUGAAAAGGUUGAAACUGAAUUUGAACAACAAUAGGCAAAUGGAAAUGAAUCAACCACUUCCACACCCGCCCACCCUCUUCCUGACAAAAAAGGAGUCCUUGACAGAGACAGAAGACAGUUUUUCAGCACUGACUCAGACAAGAAAGCUCACAGCUACCUGAUAGCUUACAGUUGGUAAAAAAUGAAAUUUACUGUCGUCUCACAAAGAAUGGUAUUUCUUGCUUGCUGCAAUUGGUACUGAACUCAGGAAGAGCAACCUGCUGUUCUAUGUAUUACCAGAUUAAAGAAUAUAUGGUAAUCAUCAUUGCUGACGGAGCAACACAGGGUCUUCCUUCAAACAAAUUGCAAUCGAUGAACCAGCAACUAGCAACAACAUGAAGUACAGAUGAAUGGGAUUGUACAACGAGCCAUAUAAUUACUACGCAAACGAAUU
Molecule: RNA transcript, 844 nt
Organism: Rosa chinensis
Lineage: Eukaryota; Viridiplantae; Streptophyta; Magnoliopsida; Rosales; Rosaceae
Exons: 8
Source: RefSeq, a predicted model, not a curated record